UACGGGGGGGGCAAGCGUUGUUCGGAAUUACUGGGCGUAAAGGGCUCGUAGGUGGCCAACUAAGUCGGACGUGAAAUCCCUCAGCUUAACUGGGGAACUGCGUCCGAUACUGGAUGGCUUGAGUUUGGGAGAGGGAUGCGGAAUUCCAGGUGUAGCGGUGAAAUGCGUAGAUAUCAGGAGGAACACCGGUGGCGAAGGCGGCAUCCUGGACCAACACUGACACUGAGGAGCGAAAGCCAGGGGAGCAAACGGG
Molecule: ribosomal RNA, 253 nt
Filed under: uncultured bacterium
Lineage: Bacteria
Description: partial 16S ribosomal RNA
Rfam family: Bacterial small subunit ribosomal RNA
Source: RNAcentral